UACGUAGGGGGCAAGCGUUGUCCGGAAUCCUUGGGCGUAAAGCGCGUGUAGGCGGUUCAGUAAGUCUGCUGUGAAAGUCCAGGGCUCAACCCUGGGAUGCCGGUGGAUACUGCUGGGCUAGAGUACGGAAGAGGCGAGUGGAAUUCCCGGUGUAGCGGUGAAAUGCGCAGAUAUCGGGAGGAACACCAAUUGCGAAGGCAGCUCGCUGGGACGUUACUGACGCUGAGACGCGAAAGCGUGGGGAGCAAACAGG
Molecule: ribosomal RNA, 253 nt
Filed under: uncultured bacterium
Lineage: Bacteria
Description: partial 16S ribosomal RNA
Rfam family: Bacterial small subunit ribosomal RNA
Source: RNAcentral